CGAAAUAUAUGUGCUGUGU
This 19-nucleotide non-coding RNA is filed under the name Mus musculus (house mouse). The record is from RNAcentral. Lineage: Eukaryota; Metazoa; Chordata; Mammalia; Rodentia; Muridae.